Phrynosoma platyrhinos (Desert horned lizard) is the source of this 72-nucleotide non-coding RNA. The record is from the annotation of a GenBank genome assembly. NCBI's taxonomy places the organism in Eukaryota, Metazoa, Chordata, Lepidosauria, Squamata, Phrynosomatidae.
GCCAGUGUGGUGUAGUGGUUUGUGCAUUGGACUAAGACUCUGGAGAGCAGAGUUCGAAUCCCUGCUCAGCCA